RNAcentral lists this ribosomal RNA (253 nucleotides) under uncultured bacterium. RNAcentral describes it as "partial 16S ribosomal RNA". It matches the Rfam family "Bacterial small subunit ribosomal RNA", at positions 524 to 776 of the family's 1533-position model. The record is from RNAcentral.
UACGUAGGGUGCGAGCGUUGUCCGGAAUUAUUGGGCGUAAAGAGCUCGUAGGCGGUUUGUCGCGUCUGCUGUGAAAACUCGGGGCUUAACCCCGGGCCUGCAGUGGGUACGGGCAGACUAGAGUGCGGUAGGGGAGACUGGAAUUCCUGGUGUGGCGGUGAAAUGCGCAGAUAUCAGGAGGAACACCGGUGGCGAAGGCGGGUCUCUGGGCCGUAACUGACGCUAAGGAGCGAAAGCGUGGGGAGCGAACAGG